This 465-nucleotide ribosomal RNA is filed under the name uncultured bacterium. RNAcentral's name for it is "partial 16S ribosomal RNA". It matches the Rfam family "Bacterial small subunit ribosomal RNA", at positions 28 to 507 of the family's 1533-position model. The record is from RNAcentral.
GACGAACGCUGGCGGCGUGCUUAACACAUGCAAGUCGAACGGAAAGGCCCCUUUGGGGGUACUCGAGUGGCUAACGGGUGAGUAACACGUGCGUAACCUGCCCUUGACUUCGGGAUAACUUCAGGCAACUGGGGCUAAUACCGGAUAGGAAUCCUUGCUGCCUGGAGGGGGUUGGAAAGCUUCGGCGGGUUUGGAUGGACUCGCGGCUUAUCAGCUUGUUGGUGGGGUAGUGGCUUACCAAGGCUUUGAUGGGUAGCCGGCCUGGGAGGGCGACCGGCCAACUUGGGACUGAGAUACGGCCCAGACUCCUACGGGAGGCAGCAGUGGGGAAUAUUGCACAAUGGGCGGAAGCCUGAUGCAGCAACGCCGCGUGCGGGAUGACGGCCUUCGGGUUGUAAACCGCUUUCAGCAGGGGAGAAGCUUGUGGUGACGGUACCUGCAGAAGAAGCACCGGCUAACUACGUG